RNAcentral lists this ribosomal RNA (2930 nucleotides) under Bacillus cereus. Its description in RNAcentral is "bacterial LSU rRNA". It matches the Rfam family "Bacterial large subunit ribosomal RNA". The record is from RNAcentral. Lineage: Bacteria; Bacillati; Bacillota; Bacilli; Caryophanales; Bacillaceae.
UUUGGUUAAGUUAGAAAGGGCGCACGGUGGAUGCCUUGACACUAGGAGUCGAUGAAGGACGGGACUAACGCCGAUAUGCUUCGGGGAGCUGUAAGUAAGCUUUGAUCCGAAGAUUUCCGAAUGGGGAAACCCACUAUACGUAAUGGUAUGGUAUCCUUAUCUGAAUACAUAGGGUAAGGAAGACAGACCCAGGGAACUGAAACAUCUAAGUACCUGGAGGAAGAGAAAGCAAAUGCGAUUUCCUGAGUAGCGGCGAGCGAAACGGAACAUAGCCCAAACCAAGAGGCUUGUCUCUUGGGGUUGUAGGACAUUCUAUACGGAGUUACAAAGGAACGAGGUAGACGAAGCGACCUGGAAAGGUCCGUCGUAGAGGGUAACAACCCCGUAGUCGAAACUUCGUUCUCUCUUGAAUGUAUCCUGAGUACGGCGGAACACGUGAAAUUCCGUCGGAAUCUGGGAGGACCAUCUCCCAAGGCUAAAUACUCCCUAGUGAUCGAUAGUGAACCAGUACCGUGAGGGAAAGGUGAAAAGCACCCCGGAAGGGGAGUGAAAGAGAUCCUGAAACCGUGUGCCUACAAAUAGUCAGAGCCCGUUAACGGGUGAUGGCGUGCCUUUUGUAGAAUGAACCGGCGAGUUACGAUCCCGUGCGAGGUUAAGCUGAAGAGGCGGAGCCGCAGCGAAAGCGAGUCUGAAUAGGGCGUUUAGUACGUGGUCGUAGACCCGAAACCAGGUGAUCUACCCAUGUCCAGGGUGAAGUUCAGGUAACACUGAAUGGAGGCCCGAACCCACGCACGUUGAAAAGUGCGGGGAUGAGGUGUGGGUAGCGGAGAAAUUCCAAUCGAACCUGGAGAUAGCUGGUUCUCCCCGAAAUAGCUUUAGGGCUAGCCUUAAGUGUAAGAGUCUUGGAGGUAGAGCACUGAUUGGACUAGGGGUCCUCAUCGGAUUACCGAAUUCAGUCAAACUCCGAAUGCCAAUGACUUAUCCUUAGGAGUCAGACUGCGAGUGAUAAGAUCCGUAGUCAAAAGGGAAACAGCCCAGACCGCCAGCUAAGGUCCCAAAGUGUGUAUUAAGUGGAAAAGGAUGUGGAGUUGCUUAGACAACUAGGAUGUUGGCUUAGAAGCAGCCACCAUUUAAAGAGUGCGUAAUAGCUCACUAGUCGAGUGACUCUGCGCCGAAAAUGUACCGGGGCUAAAUACACCACCGAAGCUGCGGAUUGAUACCGAAUGGUAUCAGUGGUAGGGGAGCGUUCUAAGGACAGUGAAGUCAGACCGGAAGGACUGGUGGAGUGCUUAGAAGUGAGAAUGCCGGUAUGAGUAGCGAAAGACGGGUGAGAAUCCCGUCCACCGAAUGCCUAAGGUUUCCUGAGGAAGGCUCGUCCGCUCAGGGUUAGUCAGGACCUAAGCCGAGGCCGACAGGCGUAGGCGAUGGACAACAGGUUGAUAUUCCUGUACCACCUCUUUAUCGUUUGAGCAAUGGAGGGACGCAGAAGGAUAGAAGAAGCGUGCGAUUGGUUGUGCACGUCCAAGCAGUUAGGCUGAUAAGUAGGCAAAUCCGCUUAUCGUAAAGGCUGAGCUGUGAUGGGGAAGCUCCUUAUGGAGCGAAGUCUUUGAUUCCCCGCUGCCAAGAAAAGCUUCUAGCGAGAUAAAAGGUGCCUGUACCGCAAACCGACACAGGUAGGCGAGGAGAGAAUCCUAAGGUGUGCGAGAGAACUCUGGUUAAGGAACUCGGCAAAAUGACCCCGUAACUUCGGGAGAAGGGGUGCUUUCUUAACGGAAAGCCGCAGUGAAUAGGCCCAAGCGACUGUUUAGCAAAAACACAGCUCUCUGCGAAGCCGUAAGGCGAAGUAUAGGGGGUGACACCUGCCCGGUGCUGGAAGGUUAAGGAGAGGGGUUAGCGUAAGCGAAGCUCUGAACUGAAGCCCCAGUAAACGGCGGCCGUAACUAUAACGGUCCUAAGGUAGCGAAAUUCCUUGUCGGGUAAGUUCCGACCCGCACGAAAGGUGUAACGAUUUGGGCACUGUCUCAACCAGAGACUCGGUGAAAUUAUAGUACCUGUGAAGAUGCAGGUUACCCGCGACAGGACGGAAAGACCCCGUGGAGCUUUACUGUAGCCUGAUAUUGAAUUUUGGUACAGUUUGUACAGGAUAGGCGGGAGCCUUUGAAAACGGAGCGCUAGCUUCGGUGGAGGCGCUGGUGGGAUACCGCCCUGACUGUAUUGAAAUUCUAACCUACGGGUCUUAUCGACCCGGGAGACAGUGUCAGGUGGGCAGUUUGACUGGGGCGGUCGCCUCCUAAAGUGUAACGGAGGCGCCCAAAGGUUCCCUCAGAAUGGUUGGAAAUCAUUCGUAGAGUGCAAAGGCAUAAGGGAGCUUGACUGCGAGACCUACAAGUCGAGCAGGGACGAAAGUCGGGCUUAGUGAUCCGGUGGUUCCGCAUGGAAGGGCCAUCGCUCAACGGAUAAAAGCUACCCCGGGGAUAACAGGCUUAUCUCCCCCAAGAGUCCACAUCGACGGGGAGGUUUGGCACCUCGAUGUCGGCUCAUCGCAUCCUGGGGCUGUAGUCGGUCCCAAGGGUUGGGCUGUUCGCCCAUUAAAGCGGUACGCGAGCUGGGUUCAGAACGUCGUGAGACAGUUCGGUCCCUAUCCGUCGUGGGCGUAGGAAAUUUGAGAGGAGCUGUCCUUAGUACGAGAGGACCGGGAUGGACGCACCGCUGGUGUACCAGUUGUUCUGCCAAGGGCAUAGCUGGGUAGCUAUGUGCGGAAGGGAUAAGUGCUGAAAGCAUCUAAGCAUGAAGCCCCCCUCAAGAUGAGAUUUCCCAUAGCGUAAGCUAGUAAGAUCCCUGAAAGAUGAUCAGGUUGAUAGGUUCGAGGUGGAAGCAUGGUGACAUGUGGAGCUGACGAAUACUAAUAGAUCGAGGACUUAACCAUAUAA